Molecule: long non-coding RNA, 311 nt
Filed under: Salmo trutta (river trout)
Lineage: Eukaryota; Metazoa; Chordata; Actinopteri; Salmoniformes; Salmonidae
Description: lncRNA (ENSSTUG00000004643.1)
Source: RNAcentral
GUUAGCCAGCAUGAAUGAAUAGACAGCCUUUUUACAACAUGGCCAAUUUUGCGGCUGUGGUAACUAGUGGAAAUCAUGAAUUGUCGUGGACUAUAUGCACAACUAAAGGACAUUGUUCCAAUCACAGGUCUAUGUCCCCAUGCGGGACCUUAUGGUGUCCAGGACACGCUCCGAAGCAGGUUUUCCAGCGUGAGGAAUGAGCAGCUCCCCAGAAAAACAUGAGACUUGCUGGUUUAAAGUGGGCUGGUGCCCUACCCACACUGGCCCUACCUGCUCACAAACACACACAGUGCCUUCAGAAAGUAUUCACA